This 3817-nucleotide long non-coding RNA is filed under the name Sus scrofa (pig). Its description in RNAcentral is "lncRNA (ENSSSCG00000058638.1)". Lineage: Eukaryota; Metazoa; Chordata; Mammalia; Artiodactyla; Suidae. The record is from RNAcentral.
UGAAUAAGCGUGGUUUUCCCAGGAACUGCCAAGAGCAACGGCGUGCAGGGGGAGUGAAGCAGCAGAGACGACUGUAACGUGGGGCUGUAUAGGCCAUGGCAAAGACUCUGGAUUUUAUUACAAGUGCUACCUCCAUACCUCUUAAACCUUGUGUUUACUUCUUGUCUUUGUACUCCCUACACCUGUGCCACCCAAUAUGGUAGCUACUGCCACAUGAGGCUCCUGAGACCUUGGAAUGUGGCUUGUGCAAAUGAACAGUAUGAAAAGAAUUAAACUAUCACUAACUUUUUACUGUUUACUGGUUGAAAUGAAAAUAUUUUGGAUAUAUUUGGAUAACUUUAAUAAAGUUAACAUAUUUUCUUUUAAUUAACUUUUUUUUAUUUUUGAGACAAUUCUAGAUUUCUAUGCAGUUUUAAGAAAUAAUACAGAGAAAUCUCAUGUUCCCUUUAUUCAUUUUUGCCCAAUGGUAACAUCUUACCAAUUAUUGUCACCAUUUUACUACCAGGAUAUUGAAGUGAUACAUCUUAUUCGGAUUUCCCUAGUUUUAAUCGUACUCAUUUGUGGGUGUGUUUAGUCCUAUGCAAUUUUAUCACAUUUGCAAAUACAUGUUUCCACCACCAUGUUGAGAUUUAAAGCAGUUCCUUCAUUUCAAGAUUCAGUGUUUUAUGCUUUUAUAACCACAUCUACCUCACUCCUGUGCUCCAUCCCUCCCCCCAGCCCUAACCUCUAGCAACCACUAGUUCUCCAUUUCUAGUUUUGUCAUGUCAAUAAUGUUAAAAGUAAAUGGAAUUAUACAAGGUAUAUCCUUCAGGAAUUGGCUUUAUUCCCUUCAAAUAAGUCUCUGAAGGUUGAUCCAAGUUGUUGCAUGCAUCAAUAGUUCAUGCCUCUUUAUUGCUGAGGAGCAUGAUAUGGAUAUAUCACACUUUAACUGCUCAUUCAUUGAAGCACACCCGGAUUGGUCUUAUUCUCGCUAUUAUGCAUAAAGCUGCCAUGAACAUUCCUGUGCCUGUUUUUCUGUUAACAUUAGUCUUAAUACAUCUAGAGUAAAUGCUUGAGUCUGUCAGUCAUAUGGUAUUUGAAUAUUUAGUUAUAUAAGACACUGCCAAGUCAUUUUUGCAGCGUAUUGUACCAACCUCCUUUUACUUUUUGGUAACAUGGCUGCUAGAAAAUUAUGAUGCGUAUGUGGCUCCCAUUUCUGUUGGAUAGUGCUGCUCUGGUUCAUCCCCCAUGCUUUUCUUUCUAUCUGGAGUGUGUUUUCAUUAUCCCUUCACAAAUGCAUGCGAACUUCUAUGGCACAGUGGUUAAGAGCAGAAUCUAAAACCAAAUGGCCUGUGUUUGUACGUUGGAUCUACCUCGGACCAACUCUAUGAUUUGUUAUAUGUAGUGCCUUUUUUUCCCUCUGUUUAUCUGUCAAUGGGAUGCUUAUUGUCAUACAGAUCUGAUUGGGUUUGUGUGAGGAUUGAGUGUAUUUAGCACAUGUGAAAUUAUUUCUCGAUGACAACCUUCUUACCCCUUGCUCCAGAGCAGAUUUAAAUCCUCAUAUAGACUUCCACUGCAGUCAAGACCCUCAUUAAAAUUGUAAUUACAUGAUUAUUUCAUACCUUUCUCUACCACUAUACGGGAAGCAGCCCUGUCUAUCUGAUUCAAUGCUGUAUCUUCAGUGCUACCAUAGAACUGGCCAAGUGAAGGCAGUUAGCGUAUCAUUGUUGAAUAAAUGAAUGAAUGAGGGAAUGAAUUUCCUUCAAUGUAAGCAUUACUCAUGAGUUACUUAAAAUACUAUUUUAUUUCCUCUUUCUUUCUUAACUUUUAAGAGCAUAUGUUAUUCAUGAGAAGACUAGGUCUCUGUUUUAAGUUAUAGGACUAGUUUUUACCUAUGGAUCCUAUAUAUUGUGGAAUAAAAACUGUUCUGAGGGUAGUGAUAGAAUUAAAUGGUAAACAUAUUAAGAAUCAUACAUAAUAUAAUACUCUUUAUUGGUAUGUUUGGUUAAAUUGCUCAGUUUAAGUAAUAGUUCCAUUGUUAUGUUGGGAUUCCCAAAAUUUGAUGGAAUGCGUGUUCCUCAACUACAUUCUUUGGCUUGAUGGGCCUUGAGAACACUGAUCCCCCAAAGCAUCAGUAGGUGGUAUUGAGUGGAAGUAUUUCUUUAUACUUCUGCAGAUAUUUUAUCUCAGUAUUUCAAUUAUUGAAAGCCUUAAUUAGGUAAGUUCCAUGACAUUCUUACAAAAGUCAGAAAACACGGCUUCACCUAGAUGAUUUUCAUUUACUACUCUCUGUUUAAAACACGAACUGUGUACCAACUACAUGCCUUUUCCAUAUACACACAUAUAUUCACUCAAAUAUAUUUUUUCAAUGAUUUCCUCCCCCCCCCUUUAUCUUCUUACCUACUAGGGAGUUACUAUAGCAGAAAGAACUGAUUUAUGGUCACUUUGAUAUAAGGUAAGUGAGGCUCUUGCUAUCAACCCUGUGGUCUUGAAAAGACCAAUUAACAUGUUAUAUCCUUCAUUUCAUUUGCGAAGUUAUGGAAAUGAUCUCUACCAAGUGGAAUUUCAAUCAUAACUAAAUGCAAGGGUCCAUAAAUACCAGGGUCCACCUCUAGAACCUUAAUUUUAAAAGUCUCCAUACUUGAAUGGUACCAGCCCACAGGCUAUCAUGGACAUUAACUUCACAGUUACGUGACAAGGCUUUGCCAUAAACUUAUGUCUCUCAACUCUAAACUAAUCAGCAGAAGAACGAAAUAUCCCUUCUUUCCGUCUAAAUAUUUGAGCUCUAAUCUGUACUGAAGAAUAUCCAGGUGUAAAAGAAAAAUUAAUGAUGAUAUUUGUUUCCUGGUUCUAUGACUUUUAAUACUUUAUUAAAAUAAUACAAAAUAUCAAAAUUUUCUAAUAUUUAUUGAGUGAUUACUUUGUGAUCAGAACUAUAUUGAAUAGUUUACCACAUUUUUUGAGAUACAAUUGACAUUUAACACUGUAUAAGGUAAGGUGUACAAUGUGUUGAUUUUGUACAUCUAUAUAUUGCAGUAUCAUUUCCACCAUUGCAUUAACCAGUACUUCCAUUAUGUCUCCCAUAAUUACUGUAUUUUUUUUUGUGGCGAGAACCUUUAAGAUCUACUUUCUUAGCAACUUUGAAGUAUGUAAUACUGUCAAUACAACAACACAGGUAAUUACUAUAAUCAUUCCUAUUUUACAUUUGGGGACAGGUUAAGAGAAAUUAAAUGAGUGGUUCAAGGUCAGAGUGCUAGUAAUUAUUAAAGCUAGGAUAUGAUUCUGUGUGAUGUGAGGAUUCAAGCCUUUACGAACGAUGUAUCUUACCUCAUUUCAAUAAUUUAAGUUGUCAUUUAGGUUAAUCAUGUUCCUUUUGUUUUCAUCUGCCAAUGGGAUGAUUGUAGUCAUACUGAUCUCAUUGGGUUUGUGUGGGGAUUGAGUGUAUUUAGCACAUGUGAAAUUAUUUCUCAAUGACAUAUAUUCAUUCACAUACAGACUGGUGAAAUAAAAUCAGGUUCUUUCCCUCCCAUACCUUUACAUUUAUCAUGUUCCCUUGACCUUUAUAAAUAAAAUCAACAAACACAGCAACAACCCUUGUCUGAAGUGAGUUCUCUUCACUCACUUCUAGCUCCUUCUCCCAUUUUCUAUUGCAGCCCAAAGACUUUGAGAUCAUAAACAUCUGUAUGCCAACAAUAUUGAAUUUUUAUCACCAGGUAACUUCAGUUGCAUAGAUAUGAAAGUGUAACACCAUAUUUUUUAAAAAAUCACUCCUCCUGCCACAUUUUAAUACAUCUGUAGUUACUGUCUGGAAUAACAAUAUUAAGUGGUUUGUUUUUUU